UGCUUUGUUUAGUGUUGGUGGUUCCUGA
Molecule: non-coding RNA, 28 nt
Filed under: Rattus norvegicus (Norway rat)
Lineage: Eukaryota; Metazoa; Chordata; Mammalia; Rodentia; Muridae
Source: RNAcentral